This 468-nucleotide ribosomal RNA is filed under the name uncultured bacterium. RNAcentral's name for it is "partial 16S ribosomal RNA". It matches the Rfam family "Bacterial small subunit ribosomal RNA", at positions 28 to 507 of the family's 1533-position model. The record is from RNAcentral.
GACGAACGCUGGCGGCGUGCUUAACACAUGCAAGUCGAACGGAAAGGCCCUGCUUUUGUGGGGUGCUCGAGUGGCGAACGGGUGAGUAACACGUGAGUAACCUGACCUUGACUUUGGGACAACUUCAGGAAACUGGGGCUAAUACCGGAUAGGAGCUCCUGCUGCAUGGUGGGGGUUGGUUAGUUUCGGCGGUUGGGGAUGGACUCGCGGCUUAUCAGCUUGUUGGUGGGGUAGUGGCGUACCAAGGCUUUGACGGGUAGCCGGCCUGAGAGGGUGACCGGCCACAUUGGGACUGAGAUACGGCCCAGACUCCUACGGGAGGCAGCAGUGGGGAAUAUUGCACAAUGGGCGGAAGCCUGAUGCAGCAACGCCGCGUGCGGGAUGACGGCCUUCGGGUUGUAAACCGCUUUCGCCUGUGACGAAGCGUGAGUGACGGUAAUGGGUAAAGAAGCACCGGCUAACUACGUG